Molecule: long non-coding RNA, 5228 nt
Organism: Apis laboriosa (Himalayan honeybee)
Lineage: Eukaryota; Metazoa; Arthropoda; Insecta; Hymenoptera; Apidae
Exons: 3
Source: RefSeq, a predicted model, not a curated record
CACUAAGUAAGUAAUUCAACCGAUAAUAUUGUUGAUAAUAUUGUAUCUGUAAAUAUUUACUGCCAAUACAUAAAUUUUUCCAUUUACUUUUUUGCAUUCGUUCAUAUUAAUUACACUCGAUAUCAAUAAAUUUUGCAUCCAUAAGUGAAUGAAAUAAUUUUCAACGGACACAAGAAGACGUUCAUCGUCUAAUAAAAUUGCACGUUUCCUUCAAAUCACGAAGAAUGUAAUGUAAUUUCCUUUAAAAACAACUAGAUUAUACAAUUAGGGCUUAAAUAUAUACUUAAGUCCCUAAUAAUGGGACACUUAUAAUGAAAGAAAAGAUGCUUGCUUCAUCUCGUAAAUUCUAAUAAAAAAAUGGAAAUGGAAAAGUUUAAAGUUCAAAGUUCUAACUAUCUAAAAAAAAUUCCUCCAACGUCUUAAAAAUCUAGAACGAGACCGGAAUUGAACAACGCGAACAAAGCGAUGGGGUCGAUGGCGAUUUCUUUAAUUUAACAAUGGUAUAUUGGCAGUGCUGAUGCGAAAACUGUAACUCCAGGGAAGAACUACGAUCGGUAGAAUCCUCUUUAGAAUGAGAUACGCUGUAAAUGUGGCACGUGCGAAUGAUUUUUACCUUCUAUUCUGCAUUAGAACAAACGUGCGUCUGGAAAACUGGUUUCUCUUCUCUACAAAAUGGGUUCGCCUCGUUCCAUUCUUCUCGUUUCGCUUUCUUUUUUUUUUUUAUCUUCGUCAAUCUUCGAGUUUCUUCAACUAUAUAUAAUCCCUCUUUCUUAGAAUAUUUCGAAAAUGGGACGAAAUUCAUUUCGAGAUGAAAAUCCUUUUUUCUUAAAAAUAAUUUUCAAGUGAAAUCGAAACUUUCCUUAAAUGUAAUACUUUAAGUAUUCAAAAAUUGAAUAUCGUUCCUUUAAAAAUGGAACAAAAGUGUUUAUCUUUAACUUAUUCUUUUUUCCAAACGUGCAGAGUCGCGAACGAAUCACGUAUGAUGGAAAAAACAAUCGUUACAAACAUCUCGUUUCAUCGAUUGAUGAAAAAAAAAAAAAAAAAAAGAAUUUCGAAAAACUUCGAAAUUUCCCAAAUACACAAAUUAAUCGAACACUCGGAAAUUGCUUCCCUUCUUCUAUCUCACAAAUGCGAAAUCGAAGACUUCGCUCCAGAUCUUCUCGAUCUGUUCUUUUUCCUUCCCCUCGUUUUGCUUGCUCCUCGUCGUUAAAUGCGCAAAGUCGCCAAGAGAUCACGUACAACCACGAAACAAUUACGCAAAUUUCCAUUUGUGUUUUACUGUCUGUCAUAAACGAUCCGCAACAUUUGCAUCUAUGUAACGAUUUCUUCUUCCUCGACCUGUUUUAACGCAUUAUUCCAACGCAGAACGAAACGAGGCGAUCCGCGUUUAAAAUCGUUUUCUAGGACCCCCACGACUGCCCACGCUUCUCUCUUUUUCCUUUCUCCAUCCUUAAAUUGCGCAAGGUACUCGUUCUAAAACUUCGAAUAUUGUUCACACUUGGAUGGAAAUACUGUGCUGGAAUACAUCGAUGGAAUCAAGCGACUAUGAAUCAAGUGCAUUCGAUCUGUACAUUUUUAUUAAGGUAUCUAUUUUUUUUUUUUUUUUUUUUUUUAAAGUCUUCGUCUUAACGCACGAGUUUAUUCCUCUAAAACGAUUCUGUAACGAGGAAAAACGUGUUACCACCGUGCCUAUAUUUUAAAAUGAUUCUACGUGAAAAUUCAAAUAUUACCUUUUAUUUUAUUUGUAUAAAUCUACAUCUCGCAGUCGCAGGGUUCUCCAGAGAUUUUCUCUAAAUUAUUUGAAUUAUUUCGUUUUCGUAAAUCGUGCCCUGUACUUGUCGAUUACUCGCAAUUUAAUAUUUCCAAUGUGUACCUUUGUGUUCCCGACUAUUCUAAUCUCGUGUUUAUAUUUAAGUUGAAUCGACUUAUGUGUGUAUUAUGAGAGUGUGUGUAUGUGUGUUUAUACGCGUGUUUAUAUCGUAAACGCAAUAUAUUAAGGCCUCUUAGUUACUAACGACAGGUCGUCACGUUUUCAUCCUCCGAGCUACGACGCUACGACGAUACGAAGAUGGCGACAGAAUUACUUCCCGCUUCUCUUCCAUCAGAAACUUCCUUUCUUCGUUAAAAAAAAAGGAGAAAAAAAAAAUUGUAUUCCAACGUAUGUACACGCGAAAUUCGAAAAGUGCUUGGCUUUAUGUAUAUAAUACUCGUAUCUGGGGGAGGGGGGCAAAAGACGAUUUUUGCCCGAAAUUUGUCUGCGAGAAAGGACGAGAAACCUGCGUCUCCUCUUGCCUCGUCGCUUGGCUUGCACAGAAAUCUGAUGCAUGUGCGUGUGGAUCAAUCGGAAGGAUCGCGGAGAGAUACACCAGUCGAUUGUUUAAGAUAUUAGAGAAGAGCGCCCUCUGAAAUAUGGAGAUUUAGGACUCCCUCUUCAUAGUGAUCUUGAGUAACCUGACCAAGUCUUUUAGAAGGAACUAUAAAAGGUGUCUUAAGUACAGUCUAAUCCCUAUCUUAAUUCGUCCUAAAUUUCUCUACUACAUGUGGCUCACUGUCAUCGCGGGAUUAGAUAACAGACAGGAUUCUUGGCAGUAUUUGGUACAACAUUCUCGAAAUGGAAUUAUUGGUAUUAUCGACUGGCUCUGUCUCUCCUCCUCGUAGUAGAGACGAAAGGUGAUUAAAAGCAAAGCUGAAUUGAACUCAAUGCGGUGAUUGCUGUGUCGAAGGAAACGUGAAAGAAACAGUGCGCAUUAAAAACCUGUGAAAGAAACGUUGCAGAGUAGUAGUCAGUGCUUGGAAGGUAGAACUGAAAAUAUAAAAAAAAAUAGACGAAGAGAAAAAAAAAAUGGUGAAGGAGAUGAAUAAUAAUUAAAAAAAAAAAAAAAAGUCGACGUGCCAAAUCGGAGACAAGAGAACCACCGUUUGCAAACGUCUUCUUUUCCUUGUUUUUUUUUAAAUCUUUUUUUUUUUUUUCUUUUAAAUCCGUAGCAACUUUAUUGGUGCAUCACGCGCCAGCCACUUUCCAUAAUGAAGGCAUAUUCGCUAGUGAGGAGUAUACGUGGAUUUUCUUUUUUGUCGCUUAAUUAGUCAUUAUCUAAUAACAUAGGUACCUUACGACUUAUGCAUUUAUCACCUAGCCUCCAGUUAUUAUUUCUUUUUUUUUUUUUUUUAUAUUCCACGGGUUCCCAAUUUACACGAGAACCAACAAAAUGCACACGUUUCAAGUGUGAUCAAUUUUCCAAAAAAAAAAAAAAAAAAAAAAAAAAAAAAAAANAAAAUAUGUUCCUUCUUAUGUAUAUAUGUAUGUACGUCUAUGUGUGUACAUAUACGCGUGUGCAACAACACGAAGAGAGUGUGCUCGAUAUCCAUAAUUCUCUCUGUCGCGUGUUCUCAAUUUUUUGAAAUUUUUCUUUAUAUUCUUCUUCUUCUUUUUUUCUUCUUCGUUUGCUACUUCAUUGUCGCCUCGUUCUUCCUUUAUCCCGAGGUUGUGUUAUAUCGUUAAAUGCCCAACUGACCAGCUACAGUGAGCUACAAUUAUUUACAAAUCUUGUUAAGUAAACAUUUCUACAGUGUUAUCUGUAUUUUUUCUUUUUCUUUUUCUUUUUUCUUCUCUCUGAUUUAAUAGGAAACAUUAAUUUUCGCUCGAUUUCGCACUCAUUCCAAUUUUUUUUUUUUUUUUUUCACUCGUUUCUACCACACGCAUACACAUUUUCCCACUCGUACAUUCUCCCUUCGUUUCUCUCCCCGAGAUUUUCCAUCUCUCCUUUCGUCCCCCUAGGCUUUUAUUAAUUAAUUAAAUCGAGAAUCGGACCGCGUUGCGAAACUUGGACGAAAUCGUGGCGUUUCCUCUUAUCUUUCAGAAAGAGUUAUGGUAAAUAAGUUCUCUUUCUUUCUUUUCUUUUCUUUCGUUUUUCUCCCCCUCGUUUCUCUCGCACUUGCAUCCCAAUUUUUAUUGUUCGACGAGACCAACACACACGAUUCAUUGGAAAUCAAUCCGUGGAUCGAAUCUUCGACGAAAUGUGCAAAAAGGCUGUUAAAAGGUUAAAACAAACAAGUCGAAGCGUAAAAGUUGGCGAUAAAAUUUUAGAAGAAUUUUUGACAAUUGCUGUUGCGGGAAUCAUGAUUAAAAAAAGAAGGAAAAGAUUACUUCUACUUUAAAAAGUUGAGAUUUAAAUUUACACAGUGAAAACGAUUCGAUAUUGUUUGUCAAUUGAAGAAUUUAACCUGUUAACGGGCUAUUCUUCAAAUUCUUCUAUAAUAAUGAAAAUAAAAAUUGUUCUAGAAUUAUUCAUUUUAAUUGGAUCGAUUUUGAUAUUUAAAAAUAUAUAAAAAUGGAAUAAUUCAAUCUUGAUGGAAAUUAUAUACGACAUUUAUUAUAGAAGAAGUGAAGAAAUUGUUCGCGAUAAAAACAAUCCUCGUUCAAAAGAUUUCACGAUAUUUUUCAUUUCUAUUACACAGGAUAGUUUUUCAGCAAUAUAAUUAAAGAUAUGAUAUUUACAAUAUAUCCAAAUAUUGUAAAUAUACAUAAUAUUAUGUGACAAUACACAUUUUAUUACCCAUUAAUUUUAUUGAGGAAAAACUAACGAUAAUAUAAAUAUUUUUCUCUUUUGGAAAAAUAAGAAAGUCGGAGAAAGGAUUGUUUUUGACGCGACGAAAUAGCAAAUUCAAGCGACUAAUUAACUCGUUUCACUCUAUUAAAAGAUUAUAUAUAAUCAUCAGUCUCGACGAAGCAUAAAAUUAUAGAAUACAGCCGGAAAAGUCGAAGUGGAAACAGCCUUAUCCGUCCAAGUAUCCGUGGUACGAGGGCUCUGUUCAAUUUUCAUUGUUUCUAAUUAAGGCGACAGCGUUUCGUGUUUCGUGCUGGAUCGAUAUACGCAAUAAUUUCACUUUCGUUCGAUCGACGAAAGGGCGGAAUUCAUUUACAGAGCGACGAAAAUUAUUUUACGCAUCUUAUCGAUCGCCUGUGAUUAGACACGAUGAAAAUUUCGAUCAAUUAUUAUUAUUAUUAUUAUUAUUAUUAUUAUUUUAUGCGACGCUGUUCGCGUUUGCUUCGGUGCUAGUUGAUUCGAUUCAUGAGCUAUUUUGCGUAUUAUAUUUAUGUAUGUACACGGUGAACGCGAUGACGUAUUUACAAAUGACGAGGAGAAACGCUUCACAGCUAGCCGAAAACGGGCAUAAGACCGGCAUUGUUUUUUAAAUUGUACAAAAGAAAAAAAAAAAAAAAAAAAAAA